This 74-nucleotide transfer RNA is filed under the name Klebsiella terrigena. Its description in RNAcentral is "Raoultella terrigena tRNA-Val". It matches the Rfam family "tRNA". Rfam says of the family: Transfer RNA (tRNA) molecules are approximately 80 nucleotides in length. Their secondary structure includes four short double-helical elements and three loops (D, anti-codon, and T loops). The record is from RNAcentral. Lineage: Bacteria; Pseudomonadati; Pseudomonadota; Gammaproteobacteria; Enterobacterales; Enterobacteriaceae.
GCGUCCGUAGCUCGGUUGGUUAGAGCACCACCUUGACAUGGUGGGGGUCGGUGGUUCGAGUCCACUCGGACGCA